AGCUGCGUGGUGAGCACAGAGCGAACUAUUCUUUCGCCUUUUACUAAAGAAUACCGUGUGCUCGCCACAAACUAGCAGCAUACCCUAAUUUUUUUAGGGUGUCCCUAAACAGAAGGACC
This 119-nucleotide small nuclear RNA is filed under the name Dichanthelium oligosanthes. Its description in RNAcentral is "U5 spliceosomal RNA". It matches the Rfam family "U5 spliceosomal RNA". From Rfam's summary of the family: U5 RNA is a component of both types of known spliceosome. The record is from Rfam by way of RNAcentral. Lineage: Eukaryota; Viridiplantae; Streptophyta; Magnoliopsida; Poales; Poaceae.